RNAcentral lists this ribosomal RNA (484 nucleotides) under uncultured bacterium. Its description in RNAcentral is "partial 16S ribosomal RNA". It matches the Rfam family "Bacterial small subunit ribosomal RNA", at positions 28 to 507 of the family's 1533-position model. The record is from RNAcentral.
AUUGAACGCUGGCGGCAUGCUUUACACAUGCAAGUCGAACGGCAGCGCGGGCUUCGGCCUGGCGGCGAGUGGCGAACGGGUGAGUAAUGCAUCGGAACGUGCCCAGUAGUGGGGGAUAGCCCGGCGAAAGCCGGAUUAAUACCGCAUACGACCUGAGGGUGCAAGCGGGGGACCGAAAGGCCUCGCGCUAUUGGAGCGGCCGAUGUCGGGUUAGCUAGUUGGUGGGGUAAAGGCUUACCAAGGCGACGAUCCGUAGCUGGUCUGAGAAGACGACCAGCCACACGGGGACUGAGACACGGCCCAGACUCCUACGGGAGGCAGCAGUGGGGAAUUUUGGACAAUGGGGGCAACCCUGAUCCAGCCAUGCCGCGUGCGGGAAGAAGGCCUUCGGGUUGUAAACCGCUUUUGUUCGGGAAGAAAUCCUCUGGGCUAAUACCCCGGGGGGAUGACGGUACCGGAAGAAUAAGCACCGGCUAACUACGUG